GCGACGAAUCUUCCGCAAUGGACGAAAGUCUGACGGAGCGACGCCGCGUGCGGGAUGAAGCGGCUUUGCCGUGUAAACCGCUGUCAGGAGAUAGAAACAAUGAUCAUCUCCAGAGGAAGGGCCGGCUAACCCUGUGCCAGCAGCCGCGGUAAUACAGGGGGCCCAAGCGUUAGUCGGAAUCACUGGGCUUAAAGGGUGCGUAGGCGGACUUGUAAGUGUCGUGUGAAAGCCCAUCGCUCAACGAUGGAACCGCACGGCAAACUGCAAGUCUCGAGGAAGGUAGAGGCGGGUAGAACGUUUGGUGGAGCGGUGGAAUGCGUAGAUAUCAAACGGAAUGCCAAAGGUGAAGACAGCCCGCUGGGCCUUUCCUGACGCUGAGGCACGAAAGCGUGGGGAGCAAACAGGAUUAGAUACCCUAGUAGUCC
RNAcentral lists this ribosomal RNA (425 nucleotides) under uncultured bacterium. Its description in RNAcentral is "bacterial SSU rRNA". It matches the Rfam family "Bacterial small subunit ribosomal RNA", at positions 354 to 796 of the family's 1533-position model. The record is from RNAcentral.